CCUACGGGUGGCAGCAGUGGGGAAUAUUGCACAAUGGGGGAAACCCUGAUGCAGCGACGCCGCGUGCGUGAAGAAGUAAUUCGUUAUGUAAAGCUCUAUCAGCAGGGGAGAAAAUGACGGUACCUGAGUAAGAAGCCCCGGCUAACUACGUGCCAGCAGCCGCGGUAAUACGUAGGCGGCAAGCGUUAUCCGGAUUUACUGGGUGUAAAGGGGGCGUAGGCGGCAGUGCAAGUCUGGAGUGAAAGGCGGGGGCUCAACCUCCGGACUGCUUCGGAUACUGUACGGCUGGAGAGCAGGAGAGGUAAGUGGAAUGCAUAGUGUAGCGGUGAAAUGCGUAGAUAUCAGGAGGAACACCAGUGGCGAAGGCGGCUUACUGGACUGUAACUGACGUUGAGGCUCGAAAGCGUGGGGAGCAAACAGGAUUAGAUACCCGGGUAGUC
This 440-nucleotide ribosomal RNA is filed under the name uncultured bacterium. RNAcentral describes it as "partial 16S ribosomal RNA". It matches the Rfam family "Bacterial small subunit ribosomal RNA", at positions 338 to 795 of the family's 1533-position model. The record is from RNAcentral.